UCCAGUGUACUCGCAUAUGUUG
This 22-nucleotide non-coding RNA is filed under the name Arabidopsis thaliana (thale cress). Lineage: Eukaryota; Viridiplantae; Streptophyta; Magnoliopsida; Brassicales; Brassicaceae. The record is from RNAcentral.